UAAAGGUAGUAUAAGUAGUAUAUUAGAAGAGUAUACGUAGUAUAAGGGUAUUUCUGGAAAAAAAAGAAAUGGCAUGGUAGUUAUAUGGUGUUAAUGUAUAUGUUCAAUGUUUAGUCUGGCCGAAUGUUAUAUGGUACCAGUCCGGCCCAUCCAUUCGACGGCGACUAGGGUUGCUUGAGGUCGGCCCAUCCACGGUGAGUUACGGCGACGGCGACUGGCGAUGGCAUCUCGAUUUGCGGGGGAAGGCGCGGCGCCAGUAGCCGCCUGGCGUCAGGAGCGGGUGAAGCCGGUGGCAGGAGAGGCGGAGGCGGUGAGGUUCCUCGAUUCGCGGUGAGGUUCCUCGAUUCGCGAUGGCGGCGGCUUGAUUCACGGCUGUGGCGGCUCGACCCGCGGCGGCGACGGCGCGGCGGCUCGAGGCUGCUCGAUUACCGGCGGCGGCGGCAGGUCGAUUCGCGGCGGCGGCGGCAGGUCGAUUCACGGCGGCGGCGUCGCGAUGGCGGCGGCUUGAUUCGAGGCUGCUGGAUUACCGGCGGCGGCAGCAGGUCGAUUCGCGGCGGCAGGUCGAUUCGCGGCGGCGGCGGCAGGUCGAUUCACGGCGGCGGCAACUCUAUUCGCGACAGUAGGUGCUCGACUCGCGGACACCGCACAUGUUUGCAAGACGCUGACGGGCUCCGACACCAGCACGCACGGCGGCUUCUCCGUGCCGCGUCGCGCCGUCGAGGACUGCUUCCCACCGCUGAACUACAGCCUGCAGAGGCUGUGUCAGGAGCUCGUUGCCGAAGAUUUGCACAGCACGGAGUGGAAGUUCCGACAAGAGAGUUUCUUCAUUAGUAUAUGAGCUGCACAUUAUCUUGUCUCCAUACAGGCAAGUUUGACUAUGGCACGUGAUCAUCAGAAAUGAUAACACAGUGUUCAUUUGAGGCUAAGUCAAAUGAACUCGUUAUACCCUAUUGGAAGUUCAUGAGAAGCUUGAACCAACCAUUUUCAGUUGGAAUGGGAUGCAGAAUGAGAUAUGAAAGUGAAGAUGCUUAUAAAAGAAGGUGCACUGGGAUAAUAAUUGGAAGCAGAGAGGCAGACCCCAUGUGGCAUGGUUCAAAAUGGGAAUGUUUUGUGGUAUGUUAUCUUCUAUCUUGAUUUGUACAUAAGACGAAUGGCAAUAUUAGCUUUCAGUUUUAGCAUUGUUUCUAUGAAUUAUUAAUGACAUGAUUGCACGUAGAGUUAAUGUCUGCGUCAAGUUGUACUAGGUUGACAUCCUUCCUUACAUGGUGGCUAUUCUAAAUCCUGAACUUACUGGAAGAAACAAAUACAUUACUAUAUUCACUCCUUGUGCUAAGCUUGAAAUAAUCGAUGUAAUUUCCGUUGUUCAUCUUUUUA
Molecule: long non-coding RNA, 1374 nt
Organism: Phragmites australis (common reed)
Lineage: Eukaryota; Viridiplantae; Streptophyta; Magnoliopsida; Poales; Poaceae
Exons: 4
Source: RefSeq, a predicted model, not a curated record